UCCUCGGUAGCUCAAUGGUGGAGCAAGAAGCUGUUAACUUCGAGGUUGUCAGUUCGAGUCUGACCCGAGGAGCCA
Molecule: transfer RNA, 75 nt
Filed under: Candidatus Nomurabacteria bacterium
Lineage: Bacteria; Candidatus Nomuraibacteriota
Description: tRNA-Asn
Rfam family: tRNA
About the family: Transfer RNA (tRNA) molecules are approximately 80 nucleotides in length. Their secondary structure includes four short double-helical elements and three loops (D, anti-codon, and T loops). Further hydrogen bonds mediate the characteristic L-shaped molecular structure. tRNAs have two regions of fundamental functional importance: the anti-codon, which is responsible for specific mRNA codon recognition, and the 3' end, to which the tRNAs corresponding amino acid is attached (by aminoacyl-tRNA synthetases). tRNAs cope with the degeneracy of the genetic code in two manners: having more than one tRNA (with a specific anti-codon) for a particular amino acid; and 'wobble' base-pairing, i.e. permitting non-standard base-pairing at the 3rd anti-codon position.
Source: RNAcentral